Molecule: ribosomal RNA, 427 nt
Filed under: uncultured bacterium
Lineage: Bacteria
Description: bacterial SSU rRNA
Rfam family: Bacterial small subunit ribosomal RNA
Source: RNAcentral
UGGGGAAUUUUGGACAAUGGGCGCAAGCCUGAUCCAGCCAUGCCGCGUGAGUGAAGAAGGCCUUCGGGUUGUAAAGCUCUUUCGGCUGGGAAGAAAUCGCACUCUCUAAUACAGGGUGUGGAUGACGGUACCAGCAUAAGAAGCACCGGCUAACUACGUGCCAGCAGCCGCGGUAAUACGUAGGGUGCGAGCGUUAUUCGGAAUUACUGGGCGUAAAGCGUGCGCAGGCGGUUGUGUAAGACAGACAUGAAAUCCCCGGGCUCAACCUGGGAACUGCGUUUGNGACUGCACGGCUAGAGUACGGCAGAGGGGGGUGGAAUUCCACGUGUAGCAGUGAAAUGCGUAGAGAUGUGGAGGAACACCGAGGGCGAAGGCAGCCCCCUGGGCCAGUACUGACGCUCAUGCACGAAAGCGUGGGGAGCAAACA